CGAACCUGCAGCCUCCGCAGUCAUACCCGGCGAAGUUCCCUGUUUCGCGAAGAGCGGGGAGAGGCGGUGAGGGGACACGCUUUGGGAGAAAAUUCUCAGGUGGAAUUCCAGCACCAGCUUAAAUGACUUCCUCCUCUCCUUCAUGGGCUCAAAAAGGAUUUUACAAGUGUGGUUUCAUCAUUAUCCCCAUUUCAGAGAUUGGAAAAUGAGGCACUUAGUCGCUUGUACAAACAAGAAGUUCUCAGCCAACUGUUCAAAAACUAUUUGGUGCCCAAGGAUUUCAAAAGCCCAGACACACAGCUGCAAGUGCCAUCUGCUCAUAAAUGGCGACUGUCAGAACAUGCCAGGUGACCCAGGCAAUCUGAAGCUUUACACAAAGGCUGUCACAAGAGCCCAGAACUACUUCCCGGGCCCUGCUCAGAAUAGUGAAGCCCAGACUCACAGCCAGCUUCCUCCCAGACCAGUCCUCCCGAAGGUCUAGAAUCCUUCAAAGCAAAUGUUUCCAUCUCAUCACAUUUGUCCUUUAGUCCUACGAGUGACCUCCAAGUCCUUGAAUCCUUGACUCCUCUUUCUUCCUUCCCCAUCAAUACUUUCUAAAGCACUUAGAGUGAAAUCAGACAUCUCUCCAUGUGCUUCUCAGAGUGGUCAGCAGAUCACAACCCCUGUGUUGCUGGCCUACAUUCCAAUGAGUACAUGAGGACAGAGAAUGGGAUUCAGCAUUUAGAAGCCUGGCAUUGCCACAAGCUCAAGUGCGAGUUCAGUCAGGUGUGAAUGUAGGGGGGCCAUUUGCCCAGAGACGAUGUGCAAUUAGAUCCCAUGUUAGCCUUAAAACUGUUUUUCAAGACUGUCCAUAGAUGCUUUGGGAAUUGCUGGACUAGAAGACCCUUCCCCUGCCGGCCUCUCUCUCCCCUCUGCAGUGGGCAGAGUACUGCAGUGACGAUCGUCUAGAUGGACCUGCUCAUUUCCAUCUUAGCCCUUGCACUGCUGUUUCUCCUGCCUGAAAUAUGCUCCCCUGCUUCCUAUCACUACAGCAUCAGCUCCUGAGAGAAGCUGCCCUUUGCCGUCCAUGCAGCGCCUCUCAGCCUGAACACGCUACCUUCAGAGAGCACGCUUUCGGCUUCUUCACAGUGCUCAUAUCUGUGGGAGGGAGAGAACCCCCUUUUGGCCCAUUCUGAACCGGCUCCAGUGCAUAUGCCCCAGCAUUUGCAGGAGGCUCUCCGCUCUCCUUGACAACUCCACUACAGGAUUUCUGACUUACAAAUGUACGGAUAAGCCUGCAUAGGAACAGCUGAGGGGAUGACUUCGAGCCCAACUUGACUGUCCUCUGGGAGGUUCCAGCCAGCAACAGCUGGAGACGGAUGCUGGGACUUGCAGCCAAGCAUGGGGCAGAGCUCCAGGGGUCCUGUGGAAGUGGGGGGGGAGGGGCAGGGUGAAGAUAGAAGGACAUGGAAGGGACAAAAACCUCACAAGAAGACGAACAGAGACAACUAACCCAGCCCCAUGAGGGCUUUCAGAGACUGAGCCAUCAACUAAGGAGCAUGCAUGGUCUAGACCAAGGCCCCCUGCACAUGGGUGGCUGAUGGACAGCUUGGUCUUCAUAUGGGGCACCUGGCGAGUGGAGGAGGGGCUGUUUCUAACAUGGACUCCGUUGCCUGCUUUUGGAUCACUUCCCCUUAGCAGCGCUGCCAAGAAGGUAAUUCUUAAAUAUUCUAUUCAUUUGAUAAGCCAUAGAAAAGAACUAUGUUCUUGUAGAUCAUGACAGAUAGCUGCAUAGAAUGUGCAAAUUUUAGUGUUAUGAAUUUUUCAUUUCUUAAAAGCAUCCUAUAAUAAAAAAAGAAAAACAAACAGAAAAGUAGUAUAAACCAAGAUAAUCUCUUAGGCUUUGAUUUAUCACGUUAUAAAGACAUGCAUAUUAUCACAAUAUUUUAUAGCCAUGAGAUCGUAGCACUAUGGAAGUGAACUCGGCCUUGGAAAUGGGCCUCACCUCGUGCAGUGACUUGAAGGCUGGACCAGAACUCGCUGGAGCCCUCUUGUCAUGGAGGAGGAAUGGGCUCCUCAUGAAAACAUUUAUUCCUCUCUAAAGGCCCAGCAGCCAGUGAAUAAGUAAGAUACAUGGGACCAGGAGCUGUCACAGGUAAAGUGCUUAAAACUCAAGCAUAGUACUGAAAAUAACAGAUAAACUUUCUAGGCUCAUGGGUAAUCUAGAUGAUCCAUUUCUGCUAAGGAAGUCUGAGGCCACAGAAAUCAUCUCAAUUGUGUAACAUGGCAGCGGAAACAAUGAGCCAUCAACUGAGUGGUAAUUUGAACAGAGAAAGUUUUCUUGUCUCAGGUUGAACGGCUGGGAGCGUGGGAUGACGUCUCUGAAGGAUUUGUUCCCAGCCCCUCCGGAAGUCUCUGGUAGUAGCGAGCUUGGAAUCACACAGCAUUCUGCUUUUGUGUCUCUGCAUCUGGAUUUCCCCUCUUAUAAGGGCACCAAUAUAUUAGACAAAGACCCCAGCCUACUCCGGUAUCACCUUGGUUUAGUGAAUUGCAUCCAAAAAAAGAUCACAUUCUGAGGCAUCAGAGAUGUGUAUUUAAGAAUAUAAAUUCGAAGGGGCACAAUUCAAGCCAACUGGACAUCAAAAUUCUUAAGCUUCAAUUUUGACAACCAUAUCACAUCUUCAAACUUUGGGCUUCAGAAGGAGAGUUUGGGGUCAUGUUAAUGAAGAAGAAAGUUGUAGAUAACUAAAUAACAAAGGUCUUAGCUGUUUUCCAGUGAUGUGCAGAGCUCGCUUAUCUCUCUGGCACUCCAUAUUGGAGAAGGAAACUCUGUAAGGGUGAUUAUUCAUCAGUCCGGACCAGGAGCACUGAGGAGUCCUGCCAGCUGCUACUACUCACAGCUUCCUUGAGCUGCACCAUCCCAACAGUGUUAGAUGAGACAAGUUAAAGACCAUUUAGACUAUUUCAGAAUACUCAAAUAACAGACCACAGAGCUCAAGAGAUCAGACCUCCCAAAUCUCUGAGCAAUGCUCCUUUCUCACAGCCAAGGAGAACUCAGACGUUCUUUCCUGGUCUUUAUCCUUUUCCGUCUGUUUACCUUUAUCUCAGGCAUCUUGGUAUAAAAGUUGAUUUUAAUUAAUCUCUCUACCAACUAAGAGUUAGGGGCAGGCAGAUAGUAAGUACACAAUAAUUGACAGAUAAACUUACUAACUGAAUGAGGACAGAGAAGCGGUGUGCCUUUAUGAGAAUCAGAACCACUGAGAUGGCCAGCUAGCCUAUGGACUCGCUCUCCCUACUGUAUGGAAAGGUACUCCAGGACACACCUCUUUUUCCUUCCGAGUCAGAGGUAGGUUUUUCCUCUGAGCUAACCCUUUCCUUCUUUCUCUCCUACAUUCUGCCUUUGAACUGAAGUCAUUAAGAUCUCUCCAUGUGGCAGCCUCUCUUCUUACAAAAGAUGUGGUCACAUCAUUCUC
Long non-coding RNA from Meriones unguiculatus (Mongolian gerbil), 3452 nucleotides. RefSeq lists it as uncharacterized. Lineage: Eukaryota; Metazoa; Chordata; Mammalia; Rodentia; Muridae. The transcript has 6 exons. The record is from RefSeq and is a predicted model, not a curated record.